Non-coding RNA from Arachis ipaensis, 970 nucleotides. The record is from RefSeq and is a predicted model, not a curated record. NCBI's taxonomy places the organism in Eukaryota, Viridiplantae, Streptophyta, Magnoliopsida, Fabales, Fabaceae.
AAUAGAAAAUUUAUUAAUCUCCUUAAAAUAAAUUAGUAAUCAUUCUAAUAAAACUUAAAUUUCUUGUUAUAGUAAACUUAAUUAGGCAUGGCCGCUCAGCUGAAGCAGGUGAUCUCUCUCUGGUUUGGCCUCAGAUUCAGUGUCACCACCUUUUUCACCUGCAUAAUCACAGAUGAUGCAUUCGUUAGGUGAGUGUAUAGUACAAUAGAAUAAAUGGAGUACCAUCGAGUUAAAGGGAUGUAAUGUUGUUUCAAUAUACACACUGUUAGGAACAGUCACAAUCAUGCCCACCAGAUGUUUGAGAAAAUGUUAAGUGAGUAAGAAGCCCGUUUGUUUCAGAUAUCAAGGGUCAUGGUGGAGUAGAUACUGGAAAUAUUUUGCUUGCUUAGAUAGAUGGCUAUUGGGACCCUGAGUUUAUUGACAAUGGUUCGAUUUGAGAGUGGGAGUUUCAAUGGCCUACCUCCUCUUUGCUGCUCCAAGUUGUCACCACAUAGUCACAUCUCACUCACUAAGCCAUCUUGGAUUAUGAGAACAGAGUCAAAUGUUAAGAAGAAGAGAAAAGAAGCCGGAUCCGCAUUGUGUAGUAUGUGAGGAGAGUGGACGAGUCGAUUGCCACCAGUGUUGUGGGAAGGGAAGGACAAACCAGGUUCAUUUGGAAAUGCUCCCGAAAGGCAAAUGGCCAAAAUGGCGUAGAACUUGUGGCGGAAGCGGUCUUGGUUACUGCUCCCGUUGCCUUGGUACCGGAGAACAUAGGUAUAUUAUGGGAUUCCAUUUCAUGAACAGGGACGAUGAUAAAUCCCAAGAAAACAAGUCUUAGUCCCCCCCCCCUUUCUCUUCUAUCUUUUCUUUUGGGUAAUGAUAUUAGGGACAGAGAUAAUAGAUAAUGUGAUAGCAUAGGUGUAUUGUCUUUAAGUUGGAACUACUGUCUUUUUAUAACACAAUGUAGAAUCAUCAUUAAUAGAUUGUUCAA